Molecule: ribosomal RNA, 243 nt
Filed under: uncultured bacterium
Lineage: Bacteria
Description: partial 16S ribosomal RNA
Rfam family: Bacterial small subunit ribosomal RNA
Source: RNAcentral
AGGUGGCAAGCGUUAUCCGGAUUUAUUGGGUGUAAAGGGCGUGUAGGCGGGAGUGCAAGUCAGAUGUGAAAACUCAGGGCUCAACCCUGAGCCUGCAUUUGAAACUGUACUUCUUGAGUGCUGGAGAGGCAAUCGGAAUUCCGUGUGUAGCGGUGAAAUGCGUAGAUAUACGGAGGAACACCAGUGGCGAAGGCGGAUUGCUGGACCACAACUGACGCUGAGACACGAAAGCGUGGGGAGCAA